GCGAGCCAGUCAGUGCGCGCCUCCGCCCGGCCCCAGCGAGCAGCGGGGAUCGAUACCUCAGAGCAGGGAGGGACGGGACGCUGAGCACCUUUCCAACCCCCCUGUCCUUGCAAGACAAGCGCGGCAGCAGCAGCAGCAGAAGCAGAAGCGCAGGAAGCGAUAGGCGCUGCGUGGGGGUGGGAGACGGAAGAAUCAGAUAAGAAAAUAAAAUGGCAGACGCGAGUACGCAGUCCUCGCAGGUCUCCUCUUCUCACGGCGCCGGGGAGGGCUCGUCUCCUUCCUCCGCCGGAGGCUCCAAGUCGACGGAUUCCUUUCUUUCCUCUUCUUCGCCUGUAUCUCUCAUUCAGUCUUCUCAAGGCAAGUGUCUGGUUCUUUUAAUGCUGAGCCCUGCUGUCUCCUCUCCUCCUGUCCCUCUCUCUCUCUCUCCCAUCUCGGUCCCCCUCUCCCCCUGUCCCUCUUCCUUCUCUCCCUCCCUCUCUCUCUUCUCUCCUCUCCUCUCCCCCUGUCCGUCUCUCUCUCUCUCUCCCCCCCGUCUCUCUCCUUUCUCUCCCAUCUCUCUCUCCCUCCUCUCCCCCUGUCCCUCUCCCGUCUCUCUCUCUCUCUCUCUCUCCUCUCCCCCUGUCCCUCUCCCUUCUCUCCCAUCUCUCUCUUCCUUCUCUCCCUCUCUCUUCUCUCCUCUCCCCCUGUCCGUCUCUCUCUCUCUCCCCCCCUGUCCCUCUCCCUUCUCUCUCUCUCCUCUCCCCCUGUCCCUCUCCCUUCUCUCCCUCUCUCUCUCUCUCUCUCUCCUCUCCCCCUGUCCCUCUCUCUCUCUCUCUCGUGCUGCUGCUGCUGCUGCGCUGGGCUGCUGCAUCUUCUGGCUUCUUCCCUUUCCUGGGGGUCACCCCCCCCCCACCCCGACUCCCUGGAUUUUCAACAGGGGCUGCAAAAGACCCACCCACCCACACCCACACCCACACGGACACCUCCCACAGCACCCCCGCUCGGGUUCCAUCUGCUGCUGUCCGCUUAAGCGCCUGAGCGCCCGGUCCAGUAAACCCCCCCCCCCAAGAUCCGAGUCUGCCCACUUCAGGUCGGAAUGAUUCGGCUCCUCCGGUCAGCUCCUAACGACGUCGCUUGGCUCGUUGGAGGCCUGGGAAACCCAGGUGUCCUGGGCCGGGCCCAGUUGGGGUUCCCGCUCACAAGGCCCCGCUAGAUUUUGUGCAGAGACGCACCGUGACUUUUAUGAGCCUGUUAAUGACGAGGCUGGAGCUCUCCCAGCCUUGUAAGUACCCCCAUCGUGAAGGGAGGGCUCAACGCGCCCGCCGGAGACUCCCGGGAGAAAGCUCGUGUUCCCCCAGUAAUUCGGAUCUGCUCCCGUCGAAAGGAGCCUUUAUCUUUCCGAUGCCUCCUGUGAUCGGCGGAGCGGCGGUGCAGAUAUUCCUGGCCCCUCUUGCUGAAGAGCCCGGGUUCCGGGUCGAAGGCUGGCUUUAAAAGGGGGGCAGCGGCUCAUCUGUCCCCUCCAGGCCCUGUGCAGCUCGUACUGCUGCUGGACCGAUGGGUCUUGUAGCCAUUCGCGCGGAGCAGCAAAGCUCUCUGUUGGGGUGCCGGGGGGGGGCUUCCUGUCGAACAGGGAACGACCUCCAGAGCAAAGGGCAGGCCGCUCUUUGGGCUCUGUGGCUGUCGGGAGUCACUGAGCCCUGUUUCUGACUCCCAAGCUGUGAGGUUUCGUCAAGUCGCUCGGGGGGGGCAGGGGAGGUCGGGGUACACUUAACGAGUUGGGUUGGGUGGGGGGCGGGGGGAGGCUUUGGAUGCGAGCAAGGGAUCGUGAAAGGGUGCGGUGUUCCCCAUGUGCGUGCCAGCGACCCGAUUUUCACCACCCCCACCCCCACCCAGUGUCGCCCUCUCCAGGUGUGUUUUGCAGCCCGGUUCUGAAAAGUCCAGCCGCUUCCCGAACGUGCGCGGACGCCCCUCGGGGCUCCGCGCCCCGCCACGCGGCGGGUGGGGGCUCGGCCCGGGCGAUGGCUGCCUGCCUGGCCCGUUCGAAUUGGCUUUGCAUGUCAUCUCUUCCCUCUGUUGUGCCCCCUCGCCCCCACCCCCAAAAGCUUUUUCUUUUUUUUUUUUUUGGUUCACCAUUCUGCCCUUGUUAGACCCCUCCCAGGGAGUGCAGGCUCACUUCCACUCUCCGCUCCUGGUCUGUGUUGAAAUAUAGCGCCUUGCAGCACUGCGAGAAAGAUCCUUCUUCUCCCAGAGGGGCAGUUGGAGCCUAAAGGGAAGGCCAGGAAAGUGAUGGGGGUGGAGGGGGGUGUUUUGGUAGCUGGUAUUCAGAGCUGAGGGGCCGAAAAGCAUCAAUCCUGCGUCUAUGUUUGUGUCCUGAUGACUUUAAGGAACAGGUUGAGGUCUUUCCGGUUUUUCCCAGAAUCCGUGUCGUUGGCGCUGUUGUUGGGCUGACCUUUGACCUUUCACCUCUGUCUGGGACUGGGGGAGGAAGGGGGUGAGGUGGGGGUCAGGCAGGAGUGCGUCUUGCCAGGGACUUGGUUGGAAGUGGCACGCUCUGUAUGCGGGGCCGACCUGUUUUCCGUUCCCUGGGGAAACGAGGCCAUUGUACGGCGGGUUCCACCCAUCUUCUCAGACCGUUAUGAGAGCAGGCAGUGCAAAGGUGGGGAACCUUUGGCCCUUUCCCGCGAGGUGGGGGUUGUGAGAGAAAUAAGGGGGGAUAAUCCCGGAGAGAGAAAAGGGGGUGUGCGGAAGGGGAUUGCUGGUUAAAAAAACGAGGACUGCUUCCCCGUUAACCGUUCUGUCUGGGACUAAGAUAUAGUCGUCCCUUCGUCUCAGACGGCCCGUUCGUCGGAUCUGGGGUGCGCGUUCGGGUUAUGGGCUGAGGAGGCCAAUCCCGUGACGGUGUCUUCUGUAAAAACAAAAACAAAAAACCCUCAAAUUUCGGGUUUAGAUUUUGUGUCAUGAAGCGGAGACGGGACCACGUGACCUGCAGGCCACUAGCCUUGUUUCUGAAGAGGAUCGGGGGUAUGGGACAGUCUGGGGAUCGGGGGUAUGGGACAGUCUGGGGCGCGGGGGGGAUCGGGGGUAUGGGACAGUCUGGGGAUCGGGGGUAUGGGACAGUCCGGGGCGCGGGGGGGAUCGGGGGUAUGGGAUAGUCCCAGGUGGUGAAAGAUGGAUCAGUCCUAAUCGGGUGGGUUUCGGCUUUUUUAGUUCGGUGCAGAAACCGAACGCCGUCCUGUCCACACACACCUGAUUCUGCUUUCUGUUUUGUUUGCGUUGCCGUAUCGAGCCACACACUCUUGAUGGGCAACAGCCCCUCCACCCACCCCUCUCCUCCCGACCCCGACCCCUUGCUGCCCCGUUCUGGGAGCGCGAGCUGCCGUUCCAUGCAUGUCUUGAGCUUGAGCUGAGGUGGAGCAAACUGUGCGUGUGUGCGUGCGUGCAGGCGUGCCGCGCGCUGUGGCUGGGCGGGGAGACCUGCUGCUUCUCUCCGAGCACGGCAUGUGCGCUGUCCUGUCGAUCCGGUCGUGCGCGGAGUCGCCUGGUCCCUCUUGUAGCCCCUUCAGAGCUCGGAGGGCAGGCGAGAGGGGUUUUGGAAGAAAAGGUUGUUUAUCUCCGGGACCCCAUGAGGGCAGGAAGGUGAGAGAGAGAGUCCUGUCCUGUCCUGGCCAGGGAGUGCUGAGACAGGUUUUCAGCUCCUCCCACUAGUGGGCCAUACCAGGGCAAUUGUCCCUCCCCAAUAUUUUAGCUCCUCCCCCUACAUAGCCAGUUCAGACCAAUUGCCCCUCCCCAAUAUUGUAGCUCCUCCCCCUACGUAGCCAAUGCAGGCCAAUCAUCCCUCCCCAAUGUUCUAAGCCCCUCCCCCUUGAGCUGGAUGAGACCAAUUGCCCCUCCCCAAUAUAUUAGCCACUCCCGCUAGGAAGCCUGAAUAGACCAGUCCCCCUUGGCUGAGGUUGUUAGCUCCUCCCACCAUGACGAUGGAGCAGACCAGUGCCUGACUGGAUGGAGACCGACCCCCCCCCCCGAAAGCACAGAUCCUGGGUUGGAGCCUCUCGGGGUACGAAUAUUUGCUUUUCUUCCUGAACCCCAUCGCCUGCUCUUCAGGUUGCUCUCGACCGAGGGCUUCACCUUUGAAAAGGCGAGAGCAGGAGAGGGGCACCCUGUUAACUUGGAGUGAUUUUGUUUUAUUUUUUUUCCUCGUUCGAUUCCUUGCUUGCCUCUGAAGUAGAGUGGGCGCGCUGCUCGAACCGUCGAUCGGACUAACCAAUGACUCACUGUUUGAUACUCGCCGUGCUGGCUUACAGGAAGCAUGAUGAUGGUGGAGGGGGGAGGGGAAGCAUUUUAGCGUCGCACGUGGCUCGGAAGCUUUGUGCAUGUGGGAGCACGUGCGACCCUACUGCUCCGCCCCCCCGCCAGCCCAGUCCCCAGGCGUUCCUGCUGGAGAACUUGGAACAGUCCCGUACCCGUGCCCUGUUGGGUGGAGCAAGUGAGAAAUUGAACCAGGAAAAAAAAAAAACAUGGCCCGGAUGGCGCAAAAUCCCGGAUCGGAUCGGAUCCCCUCUCUAGGACUACAAGUGAGGACCGGGGGUGUCGACGUUCAGGGACGCCUGGGGGUGAAUGUAGGUUGACGGUCCCCUCCUCUUUCUCCCCCUCCCUGCCCCGACCCCACCGAAACGGACGCAGCUGGGAGCAGGAUGGAGGGUCCCCACCUGUCUCCGGAAAGAGUGGCCACCUCCUGCGCCCCAGUUGCUUUUGGGGGGCAGGGCCCCCCCAGUUAUGCGCAAGGGCCACCUCAAAGCGCGGGUGACCAGGAGCCGAAAAUGGGAACCCCAGGAGCCGCCGCUGACCCCGUCGCCCCGAUAAUGGGCCGCCCCGCGGGGGC
Lepisosteus oculatus (spotted gar) is the source of this 4858-nucleotide long non-coding RNA. Lineage: Eukaryota; Metazoa; Chordata; Actinopteri; Semionotiformes; Lepisosteidae. The record is from Ensembl.